RNA transcript from Capsicum annuum, 3344 nucleotides. It is a transcript of the gene named GDT1-like protein 2, chloroplastic, with no coding region annotated. The transcript has 7 exons. NCBI's taxonomy places the organism in Eukaryota, Viridiplantae, Streptophyta, Magnoliopsida, Solanales, Solanaceae. The record is from RefSeq and is a predicted model, not a curated record.
CCUCUUUCUCAUAAAAAACGUACUACUUCUCUCAAUUUCCCUCCACAGUAUUUAACUCGUCCAAAAAUACUUUUCUCAAUAUAAAUAAUCAAAAACCCUCUUUCUCAUAAAAAACGUACUACUUCUCUCAUAAACAAAAAUUGAUUGCAAUUACACUGUCAAAAAUCCAUUUCUCAUCCAGCAAAAGAGACGAAGUUACUAUGUGAUUUGCUAGACAAUCCAUUUCUCAUUGAGUAAAGGAGACGAAAGAUACAGUGGUGUGAUUUUCUAGAAAACCCAUUCCUCAAUCAAUCGAAAAUCCAUUAUUCCUCAAUGGAAAAUCCAGAUAAAUUGAAUUUUGGGGGGAUUUUGUAGCUCCAAUUCCCUGGGGAGUUGCUCUUUCCUGAAAAUGGAGUAAAGGAGAUGGAUCGACAUGGAUCAAAAACCCAUUUCUCAAGUCUCCAAUCAGUAUUAGUAUUAGUAUUCGCUUCUUCCAUUUGUAUUUCCUGUUAUUUUUGUUACCUUUUGCUAAGGUUGUCAUGUUAGUAUUUGUUAUGCCUCUUUGCGACUAUGUUCCUUUUCAUGUUUUUGUCAUAUGUUUUUUCGUUCUAUUCGGCUCGAAUGGGAUACCUGCGCCUGAUUUGGUUAUAUUUAGUGUUUAGGUAAAAGCUUAAAGAUAGAGCCUUUGGUGAGAUGGUAAUCUGGUUUCACUUCGAUGGUCUCUACUACUAUCUGAACUGUUGGUUCUGUUCUUGAAUUUUUUACUAGUCAUUUUUAAUUGUAAUGAAACAAAUACUAAACUGUUUGAUUGAUAGUAUUUCUCAUACAUUUACCUAUCAAAGAAAGAAUAUAGUAUUUACUAUGCAUCUGGUAUCACUACGUUUGGUCAUGUUUUUAUGUAUCAGGAUUGUUGUACUGCUUACUUUGUGAUCUUGACCUUCAGCUGUAUCUAAUAUAUGGUAAACCUUCUCCUCAACGCUAUUUAAGUUUAGUCUUUGUGCUGCUAGGAUUUUCUUUCUAAAUAGGACUAGCUUAGUCAGUUACAUAGUCUUGAUGGAUGCAAUCGAGUUAAUGCAUUACCAUGAUGUUUCCGCCUUCUCCACUUGCAACCUGAAGACAAAGCUACUUUAGCUUUUGGGCGUUAUUUUCAUAUAUUCCUUUGUGUCUUGCAUUUGUUCCAGUGGCUAUUUUGAUGUACUAAUGGAAGAAUACACCAUGUAAGCUUGUGAUCUCAUCCCACAUACGACGUAUUAUUCCUUUAACCUAUGUUGUUUGGACUUAUCAAUAACGUCGACGACUACAUGUUGGACCCUCCAAAAGGAGGUUAUCUUUGAAGGACUCGAUAUGGGUGCAGCAAUAUUUUUGGAGAUUCCAAGAAACUUAGCUAAGUUGUAUGUAUACUCACUGAAGUUGCAGUCUGCUUUCCUCCACAUCAUAUCAUGCAACAAUAAUUAUACUUCGAUACAAAGUUGACCAUAGAUCCAGAAGGCUUUUUAGAGAAGUUCAAAUGAUCCAAUGUCACCCACCUUUCUUUAUCAGGCACACUAUUUGUUUUAUAUUUCUAUUGUGUUUUGAUAUUACUUUGUUAUGAUAUAUUAUUCAUUCUUGGAGAGUUGCAUAGAAUUCCUCAAAUUUGGAUCUUCUUUUAAGGGAAGAAGUUGUGUAAUUGAGGUCUGAUCAAGCACAUUUACAUCAUUAGUCUUAGUAGGAGUAACUAGAUCAUGAUUUGUAUCAACAACAUUUCUAUCGGCCUGCUGAACAUUUUCUGCAUUCAAUGAUGGGCUUUCCUGGAUAGAUUCAUCUCUGAAUUUUGAACCCAAUCUACCCACAACAUCAUGAGAAGUCUGAUCAAUAUCUCCCCUAUUCUGAACCUGAGAAGAAAUUACCAUUUCAUGUGCUGCUUCCAAAUUCUGCUGAGAAUGCACAAUAUCUGAGCAACUUCAGCACCUGUGUAAUCACCCAACAUCUGACCCUUAAGUUCAGAACCUUGAGCAGCAGUAACCUUCAAGUUAUCAACCUUCUGAGUACAAUUCUGAACAUAACCUUCUGAAUUCUGCUAGUCCUAAGGAGCAGAAACAACACAUGAAGAGCUUUCUGCUGUUAGCAACUCUGCAGAAGCAUUGCAAAGCUUAUCAGUAAGGGAAAAUGAGACAAUGUGUUUCCACAUGAGGCUCUUUGUACAUUUUAGUUCUGAUAUGGUUGUUCAUGUUGCAGAGUGGGAUAACUAAUAAAGCAAUUGGAGAAACACGUAUUCUUAGCCUCUUGUUGAAAAAAAAUUCUUUCUUUUACAUGUUUAUUUUAUUUAUUCUUUGUUAAAAUGUUUAAACUAUUUCAGAAAUGAAUACGUCGACCAGCAGAAGCCAUUGCCUUUACAUAUUUACUGUCCACCGGGAUCUGACAAAGGAUAAAAGGUAUUGUUGUCACGAUGUUAUUACUGUUAACAUUUCUUUUUAAUUCCUUUGUUGUUAAGCUUUCUGCAGACUUCUGAGAUUUGAGAAGAAGGAGACUGGGGCGUGCUAGCUUAUCUUGAAGGCAAAGGCACCGAAAGCUUUCUCCCUGCAUACCUGAUGGGUUGUCCAAUUCGUGGUGUAAUUUUAGACCCAAUCAUUGCAAUGCUGAUGGGCAUUCAAGGAUAGUCAGGUGUACAUGGCAAAAGAAAUUAGAACAGGGGAAGUUGUUGCUUUGAAGAAGAUACGCAUGGACAACAAAAGAGAAGGGUUUCCAAUAACUGCAAUAAGUGAAAUUAAAAUUUUAAAGAAGCUGCACCAUGAAAAUGUGAUUGACCUGAAAGAGAUUGUAACAUCUCUAGGAAUGGGGAGAUCGAUCAAUGCUUGCUACAAUAGCGCUUGGUACAGCUCAGUUUCCAUGGGGCGUGGCAAGUGGUGCCAUUGCCGGACACUUGGUUGCUACAUCCCUUUCAAUACUAGGAGGCGCAUUUGUUGCCAAUUACAUUUCUGAGAAACUGGUUGGUUACUUGGGUGGGGUCCUAUUCUUAGUAUUUGCUGUUGCUACUUUUUUUGGAGGCUUUUAACCAAGUUUUAAAGAAGAGAAGACGAAAUUGAGAAGUUUCAAGCUUCCUAUUAAGACCAGAUAGAUACUCUGAGAAAACGCCAGUGGUAGAGCUCACGAAACUCCUGAUGUACCAUAGAUUAGUAACAUGUUCAUGUUUGUCAUAAAGUAAUGACAUCCUUGUACUACUACUAUAGGAUAAGUAGAGAAGAAACUAUAUUAGUAGUCCUUAGGCAGCACAAGAGAUGUGAAAAAUCCUAUGGCCUCCAUCAGAAAAUUUUAGUGAGAGUUAAUGCUUUUCCAUGAUUGUUGUACCAAGUUUUGUAUGAGUAUAUAAAAAAAUCAAGAUUUCUGUA